AGCAGUCGCCACGGUAAUACGUAGGUCCCGAGCGUUGUCCGGAUUUAUUGGGCGUAAAGCGAGCGCAGGCGGUUAGAUAAGUCUGAAGUUAAAGGCUGUGGCUUAACCAUAGUACGCUUUGGAAACUGUUUAACUUGAGUGCAAGAGGGGAGAGUGGAAUUCCAUGUGUAGCGGUGAAAUGCGUAGAUAUAUGGAGGAACACCGGUGGCGAAAGCGGCUCUCUGGCUUGUAACUGACGCUGAGGCUCGAAAGCGUGGGGAGCAAACAGGAUUAGAUACCCCGGUAGUCCCUGUCUCUUAUACA
RNAcentral lists this ribosomal RNA (303 nucleotides) under uncultured bacterium. RNAcentral describes it as "partial 16S ribosomal RNA". It matches the Rfam family "Bacterial small subunit ribosomal RNA", at positions 507 to 808 of the family's 1533-position model. The record is from RNAcentral.